Molecule: transfer RNA, 77 nt
Filed under: Blastocatellia bacterium
Lineage: Bacteria; Pseudomonadati; Acidobacteriota; Blastocatellia
Also listed under: 1 other name
Description: tRNA-Arg
Rfam family: tRNA
About the family: Transfer RNA (tRNA) molecules are approximately 80 nucleotides in length. Their secondary structure includes four short double-helical elements and three loops (D, anti-codon, and T loops).
Source: RNAcentral
GCUCCCGUAGCUCAGCUGGAUAGAGCAACGGCCUUCUAAGCCGUAGGUCGCAGGUUCGAACCCUGCCGGGGGUACCA